RNAcentral lists this ribosomal RNA (520 nucleotides) under uncultured bacterium. Its description in RNAcentral is "bacterial SSU rRNA". It matches the Rfam family "Bacterial small subunit ribosomal RNA", at positions 1001 to 1521 of the family's 1533-position model. The record is from RNAcentral.
CAGAAAUGUAUGUUCUCUUCGGAGCAUUGGAGACAGGUGGUGCAUGGUUGUCGUCAGCUCGUGUCGUGAGAUGUUGGGUUAAGUCCCGCAACGAGCGCAACCCUUAUCCUUAGUAGCCAGCAGGUAAAGCUGGGCACUCUAGGGAGACUGCCAGGGAUAACCUGGAGGAAGGUGGGGAUGACGUCAAAUCAUCAUGCCCCUUAUGAUUUGGGCUACACACGUGCUACAAUGGCGUAAACAAAGGGAAGCGAAGUGGUGACAUGGAGCGAACCCCAAAAAUAACGUCUCAGUUCGGAUUGCAGGCUGCAACCCGCCUGCAUGAAGCCGGAAUCGCUAGUAAUCGCAGAUCAGAAUGCUGCGGUGAAUACGUUCCCGGGUCUUGUACACACCGCCCGUCACACCAUGGGAGUCAAUAACGCCCGAAGUCAGUGACCCAACCGAAAGGAGGGAGCUGCCGAAGGCGGGAUGGAUAACUGGGGUGAAGUCGUAACAAGGUAGCCGUAUCGGAAGGUGCGGUUGG